Molecule: ribosomal RNA, 468 nt
Filed under: uncultured bacterium
Lineage: Bacteria
Description: partial 16S ribosomal RNA
Rfam family: Bacterial small subunit ribosomal RNA
Source: RNAcentral
GACGAACGCUGGCGGCGUGCUUAACACAUGCAAGUCGAACGGAAAGGCCCUGCUUUUGUGGGGUGCUCGAGUGGCGAACGGGUGAGUAACACGUGAGUAACCUGCCCUUGACUUUGGGAUAACUUCAGGAAACUGGGGCUAAUACCGGAUAGGAGCUCCUGCUGCAUGGUGGGGGUUGGAAAGUUUCGGCGGUUGGGGAUGGACUCGCGGCUUAUCAGCUUGUUGGUGGGGUAGUGGCUUACCAAGGCUUUGACGGGUAGCCGGCCUGAGAGGGUGACCGGCCAAAUUGGGACUGGGAUAAGGCCCAGACUCCUACGGGAGGCAGCAGUGGGGAAUAUUGCACAAUGGGCGGAAGGCUGAUGCAGCAACGCCGCGUGCGGGAUGACGGCCUUCGGGUUGUAAACCGCUUUCGCCUGUGACGAAGCGUGAGUGACGGUAAUGGGUAAAGAAGCACCGGCUAACUACGUG